RNAcentral lists this ribosomal RNA (171 nucleotides) under uncultured bacterium. RNAcentral's name for it is "partial 16S ribosomal RNA". It matches the Rfam family "Bacterial small subunit ribosomal RNA", at positions 335 to 524 of the family's 1533-position model. The record is from RNAcentral.
ACUCCUACGGGAGGCAGCAGUGGGGAAUCUUAGACAAUGGGGGAAACCCUGAUCUAGCCAUGCCGCGUGAGUGAUGAAGGCCUUAGGGUUGUAAAGCUCUUUCAGCUGGGAAGAUAAUGACGGUACCAGCAGAAGAAGCCCCGGCUAACUCCUGCCAGCAGCCGCGGUAAU